RNAcentral lists this ribosomal RNA (1542 nucleotides) under uncultured bacterium. RNAcentral describes it as "bacterial SSU rRNA". It matches the Rfam family "Bacterial small subunit ribosomal RNA". The record is from RNAcentral.
AGAGUUUGAUCAUGGCUCAGGAUGAACGCUGGCGGCGUGUCUAAGGCAUGCAAGUCGAACGGGUUCAAUGCCGCAAGGUGUUGGACUAGUGGCAAACGGGUGAGUAACACAUUGAUAACCUACCCCGAAGUGUGGGAUAACUCCGCGAAAGCGGAACUAAUACCACGUACGAUCUUUUGGCACAUGUCAAAAGAGGAAAGGCCCGCAAGGGUCGCUUUGGGAGGGAUCUAUGGCUUAUCAGCUAGUUGGUAAGGUAAUGGCUUACCAAGGCUAUGACGAGUAGCGGGCGUGAGAGCGCGACCCGCCUCAGUGGGACUGAGACACUGCCCACACUCCUACGGGAGGCUGCAGUCAAGAAUAUUCCCCAAUGGACGAAAGUCUGAGGGAGCGACGCCGCGUGCAGGAUGAAGGUCUUCGGAUUGUAAACUGCUUUUCUCUGGGAAGAACAUUGACCGUACCAGAGGAAUAAGAGGUUGCUAACUCUGUGCCAGCAGCAGCGGUAAUACAGAGACCUCGAGCGUUAUCCGGAUUUAUUGGGCGUAAAGGGUCCGUAGGCGGUUUUAUAAGUCUUCGGUUAAAUCUUUGGGCUCAACCCAAAGGCUGCCGGGGAAACUAUAAGACUUGAGACUGGGAGAGGCAAGCGGAAUUACCGGUGUAGUAGUAAAAAUGCGUUAAUAUCGGUAAGAACACCAAAUGCGAAGGCAGCUUGCUAGAACAGUUCUGACACUCAGGGACGAAAGCGUGGGGAGCAAAACGGAUUAGAUACCCGUGUAGUCCACGCCGUAACGAUGGGUACUGGGCAUUGGAAGUAUCGACCCUUUCAGUGCCGCAUAUCAAAGCUAACGCGUUAAGUACCCCGCCUGGGGGAGUACGGCCGCAAGGCUAAAACUCAAAGGAAUUGACGGGAACCCGCACAAGCGGGUGGAGCAUGUGGUUUAAUUCGACAAUAAGCGUGGAACCUUACCUAGGCUUGACAUGCUGGAAGUAAUCCUCGACGAAAAUUGAGAGGACCGUUAAAUCGGAGUCCAGCACAGGUGCUGCAUGGUUGUCGUCAGCUCGUGUCGUGAGAUGUUCCGUUAAGUCGGGAAACGAGCGCAACCCUCACGGUCAGUUAAAUUUUUCUGGCCGAACUGCCCCCCACUUUGCGCACAAACGCAAAGUAAAAACUCUAAAUUCGAAAUCCUAAACUCUAAACAAAUUCAAAAUUUCAAACAAUUGUUUUGAACAUUUGAAUUUUGGUCAUUAGAUAUUGUUUAGGAUUUAGUGCUUAGGAUUUAUUACUUUGUUUGUUUGCGAAUAAAGUGGGGGGAGGAAGGCGAGGAUGACGUCAAAUCAGCAUGGCUCUUACGUCUAGGGCUACACACGUGCUACAAUGGCCGGUUACAAUGGGAAGCAAAACCGCAAGGUGAAGCAAAUCCCCUAAAGCUGGUCUCAGUUCGGAUUGAGGUCUGCAACUCGACCUCAUGAAGUCGGAAUCGCUAGUAAACGCGUAUCAGCCACGGCACGUUGAAUACGUUCUCGGGUUUUGUACACACCGCCCGU